This 50-nucleotide unclassified non-coding RNA is filed under the name Arabidopsis thaliana (thale cress). Its description in RNAcentral is "partial MIR166d microRNA precursor". The record is from RNAcentral. Lineage: Eukaryota; Viridiplantae; Streptophyta; Magnoliopsida; Brassicales; Brassicaceae.
AGCUUCUUCUUCUUCUUCUUCUUCUGUCUACUUACAUAAAGUUAUCCUGC